This 258-nucleotide ribosomal RNA is filed under the name uncultured bacterium. RNAcentral describes it as "partial 16S ribosomal RNA". It matches the Rfam family "Bacterial small subunit ribosomal RNA", at positions 793 to 1055 of the family's 1533-position model. The record is from RNAcentral.
GUCCUAGCCGUAAACGAUGGACACUAGGUGUGGGGAGGAUCACCUUUCCGUGCCGCAGCUAACGCAUUAAGUGUCCCGCCUGGGGAGUACGGCCGCAAGGCUAAAACUCAAAGGAAUUGACGGGGGCCCGCACAAGCAGCGGAGCAUGUGGCUUAAUUCGAAGCAACGCGAAGAACCUUACCAGUGCUUGACAUGUAGGUGAAGCAGUGGAAACACCGUGGCCGAAAGGAGCCUACACAGGUGGUGCAUGGCUGUCGU